UACGUAGGGUGCAAGCGUUAAUCGGAAUUACUGGGCGUAAAGCGUGCGCAGGCGGUUCGCUAAGACAGAUGUGAAAUCCCCGGGCUUAACCUGGGAACUGCAUUUGUGACUGGCGGGCUAGAGUAUGGCAGAGGGGGGUAGAAUUCCACGUGUAGCAGUGAAAUGCGUAGAGAUGUGGAGGAACACCGAUGGCGAAGGCAGCCCCCUGGGUCAAGAUUGACGCUCAUGCACGAAAGCGUGGGGAGCAAACAGG
Molecule: ribosomal RNA, 253 nt
Filed under: uncultured bacterium
Lineage: Bacteria
Description: partial 16S ribosomal RNA
Rfam family: Bacterial small subunit ribosomal RNA
Source: RNAcentral